RNAcentral lists this ribosomal RNA (492 nucleotides) under uncultured bacterium. Its description in RNAcentral is "partial 16S ribosomal RNA". It matches the Rfam family "Bacterial small subunit ribosomal RNA", at positions 29 to 507 of the family's 1533-position model. The record is from RNAcentral.
AGUGAACGCUGGCGGUAGGCCUAACACAUGCAAGUCGAACGGCAGCACAGUAAGAGCUUGCUCUUACGGGUGGCGAGUGGCGGACGGGUGAGGAAUACAUCGGAAUCUACUUUUUCGUGGGGGAUAACGUAGGGAAACUUACGCUAAUACCGCAUACGACCUACGGGUGAAAGCAGGGGAUCUUCGGACCUUGCGCGAUUGAAUGAGCCGAUGUCGGAUUAGCUAGUUGGCGGGGUAAAGGCCCACCAAGGCGACGAUCCGUAGCUGGUCUGAGAGGAUGAUCGGCCACACUGGAGCUGGGACACGGUCCAGACUCCUACGGGAGGCAGCAAUGGGGAAUAUUGGACAAUGGGCGCAAGCCUGAUCCAGCCAUACCGCGUGGGUGAAAGAGGCCUUCGGGUUGUGAAGCCCUUUUGUUGGGAAAGAAAAGCAGCAGGUUAAUACCCCGCUGUUCUGACGGUACCCAAAGAAUAAGCACCGGCUAACUUCGUG